ACGGGGCGCACAGGCCGGAAAACUUUACAAUGCGGGAAACCGUGAUAAGGGAACUCCGAGUGUCCGUAAAUGCGGACUGUCCGUAUGUUUAAAAAGCAUGCGAAGAAAGGGCCGGGCAAGAUCGGUGCCAGCCGCCGCGGUAAUACCGGCGGCUCGAGUGGUGGCCACUAUUAUUGGGCUUAAAGCGUUCGUAGCUGGGUUAUUAAGUCUCUUGGGAAAUCUACCGGCUUAACCGAUAGGCGUCCAAGGGAUACUGGUAAUCUAGGAACCGGGAGAGGUGAGGGGUACUUCAAGGGUAGGAGUGAAAUCCUGUAAUCCUUGGGGGACCACCUGUGGCGAAGGCGCCUCACCAGAACGGCUCCGACAGUGAGGGACGAAAGCUGGGGGAGCAAACCGGAUUAGAUACCCGGGUAGUCCCAGCCGUAAACGAUGCGCGUUAGGUGUAUCGAUGACCACGAGUCAUCGAGGUGCCGAAGGGAAACCGUGAAACGCGCCGCCUGGGAAGUACGGUCGCAAGGCUGAAACUUAAAGGAAUUAGCGGGGGAGCACCACAACAGGUGGAGCCUGCGGUUUAAUCGGACUCAACGCCGGAAAUCUCACCGGAUAAGACAGCUGAAUGAUAGCCGGGCUGAAGACUCUGCUUGACUAGCUGAGAGGAGGUGCAUGGCCGUCGUCAGUUCGUACUGUGAAGCAUCCUGUUAAGUCAGGCAACGAGCGAGACCCACGCCAACAGUUGCCAGCAUGUCCUCCGGGAUGGUGGGGACACUGUUGGGACCGCCUCUGCUAAAGAGGAGGAAGGAAUGGGCAACGGUAGGUCAGCAUGCCCCGAAUUAUCCGGGCUACACGCGGGCUACAAUGGGCAGGACAAUGGGUUUCGACACCGAAAGGUGAAGGCAAUCUCUUAAACCUGCUCGUAGUUCGGAUUGCGGGUUGCAACUCGCCCGCAUGAAGCUGGAAUCUGUAGUAAUCGCGUCUCAAAAUGGCGCGGUGAAUAAGUCCCUGCUCCUUGUACACACCGCCCGUCA
This 1025-nucleotide ribosomal RNA is filed under the name uncultured Methanomicrobium sp. RNAcentral describes it as "bacterial SSU rRNA". It matches the Rfam family "Archaeal small subunit ribosomal RNA", at positions 325 to 1355 of the family's 1478-position model. The record is from RNAcentral. Lineage: Archaea; Methanobacteriati; Methanobacteriota; Methanomicrobia; Methanomicrobiales; Methanomicrobiaceae.